This 503-nucleotide ribosomal RNA is filed under the name uncultured bacterium. RNAcentral describes it as "partial 16S ribosomal RNA". It matches the Rfam family "Bacterial small subunit ribosomal RNA", at positions 30 to 523 of the family's 1533-position model. The record is from RNAcentral.
AUUGAACGCUGGCGGCAGGCUUAACACAUGCAAGUCGAGCGGGGUGAUGGUGCUUGCACUAUCACUUAGCGGCGGACGGGUGAGUAAUGCUUAGGAAUCUGCCUAUUAGUGGGGGACAACAUCUCGAAAGGGAUGCUAAUACCGCAUACGUCCUACGGGAGAAAGCAGGGGAUCACUUGUGACCUUGCGCUAAUAGAUGAGCCUAAGUCGGAUUAGCUAGUUGGUGGGGUACAGGCCUACCAAGGCGACGAUCUGUAGCGGGUUUGAGAGGAUGAUCCGCCACACUGGGACUGAGACACGGCCCAGACUCCUACGGGAGGCAGCAGUGGGGAAUAUUGGACAAUGGGGGGAACCCUGAUCCAGCCAUGCCGCGUGUGUGAAGAAGGCCUUAUGGUUGUAAAGCACUUUAAGCGAGGAGGAGGCUCUUUUGGUUAAUACCCAAGAUGAGUGGACGUUACUCGCAGAAUAAGCACCGGCUAACUCUGUGCCAGCCGCCGCCGUAA